Long non-coding RNA from Hordeum vulgare subsp. vulgare (domesticated barley), 474 nucleotides. RefSeq lists it as uncharacterized. Lineage: Eukaryota; Viridiplantae; Streptophyta; Magnoliopsida; Poales; Poaceae. The transcript has 3 exons. The record is from RefSeq and is a predicted model, not a curated record.
GGAUGAUAUGGAAGAUUUUGAUGGCUUUGGUGAUGAAGAUGAUGAUGGAGAUGAAGAUGAUAUGGAAGAGCCAGUAACAAAGAAACCCAAGCGAUCAGACUCUGAUUCAAGUUCAAAGAUUGGGCGGAAAUCUAGGAAGGUUAUCACCGAGGUGGAAGAAGACGAGGACAGGGGUAGCAGGCAAAGGACACGAAUGUGAUUCUCCAGGCACGGCUUCAGUAACAUGCUUGGUGUCGAUGAUGUUGUACUUUAGAUAAUUUUGCCUGUCUUUCUCGUGACGACCGCAGCUCUCUUCUAUGUGAUGGUAGUUUAGAUGAUCGAUAUCGACUUGUAAUGUGAAGACAAACUCGCUACUCGCGGUCUCGAGACUUGUAAUGUUCUAACUUUGUUCGAUAUUUUAAAUUCGUAGAUUAACAUGAUGAAUUGUAUUCGGAGAAUAAUCUUCUAUUGUAUUCGAUAAAUCUGCUGUUUAUA